GACGAACGCUGGCGGCGUGCUUAACACAUGCAAGUCGAACGGAAAGGCCCUGCUUUUGUGGGGUGCUCGAGUGGCGAACGGGUGAGUAACACGUGAGUAACCUGCCCUUGACUUUGGGAUAACUUCAGGAAACUGGGGCUAAUACCGGAUAGGAGCUCCUGCUGCAUGGUGGGGGUUGGAAAGUUUCGGCGGUUGGGGAUGGACUCGCGGCUUAUCAGCUUGUUGGUGGGGUAGUGGCUUACCAAGGCUUUGACGGGUAGCCGGCCUGAGAGGGUGACCGGCCACAUUGGGACUGAGGUACGGCCAAGACUCCUACGGGAGGCAGCAGUGGGGAAUAUUGCACAAUGGGCGGAAGCCGGAUGCAGCAACGCCGCGUGCGGGAGGACGGCCUUCGGGUUGUAAACCGCUUUCGCCUGUGACGAAGCGUGAGGGACGGGAAUGGGUAAAGAAGCACCGGCUAACUACGU
RNAcentral lists this ribosomal RNA (467 nucleotides) under uncultured bacterium. Its description in RNAcentral is "partial 16S ribosomal RNA". It matches the Rfam family "Bacterial small subunit ribosomal RNA", at positions 28 to 506 of the family's 1533-position model. The record is from RNAcentral.